UACGUAGGGGGCAAGCGUUGUCCGGAUUUAUUGGGCGUAAAGAGCGUGUAGGCGGUUAGGUAGGUCCGUUGUGAAAACUCGAGGCUCAACCUCGAGACGCCGAUGGAAACCCCCUAACUAGAGUCCGGAAGAGGAGAGUGGAAUUCCUGGUGUAGCGGUGAAAUGCGCAGAUAUCAGGAAGAACACCCGUGGCUAAGGCGGCUCUCUAGUACGGUACUGACGCUGAGGUGCGAAAGCGUGGGGAGCAAACAGG
RNAcentral lists this ribosomal RNA (253 nucleotides) under uncultured bacterium. RNAcentral describes it as "partial 16S ribosomal RNA". It matches the Rfam family "Bacterial small subunit ribosomal RNA", at positions 524 to 776 of the family's 1533-position model. The record is from RNAcentral.